UACGAAGGGUGCAAGCGUUAAUCGGAAUUACUGGGCGUAAAGCGUGCGCAGGCGGUUUGUUAAGAGAGAUGUGAAAUCCCCGGGCUUAACCUGGGAACUGCGUUUCUAACUGGCAAGCUAGAGUGUGGCAGAGGGGGGUGGAAUUCCACGUGUGGCAGUGAAAUGCGUAGAUAUGUGGAGGAACACCGAUGGCGAAGGCAGCCCCUCGGGCGUAACACUGACGCUCAUGCACGAAAGCGU
Molecule: ribosomal RNA, 240 nt
Filed under: uncultured bacterium
Lineage: Bacteria
Description: partial 16S ribosomal RNA
Rfam family: Bacterial small subunit ribosomal RNA
Source: RNAcentral